AACGAACGCUGGCGGCAGGCCUAACACAUGCAAGUCGAGCGAGGACUUCGGUCCUAGCGGCGGACGGGUGAGUAACGCGUGGGAACGUGCCCUUUGCUUCGGAAUAGCCCUGGGAAACUGGGAGUAAUACCGGAUGAGCCCUUUGGGGGAAAGAUUUAUCGGCGAAGGAUCGGCCCGCGUUGGAUUAGGUAGUUGGUGGUGUAAUGGCCUACCAAGCCGACGAUCCAUAGCUGGUUUGAGAGGAUGAUCAGCCACACUGGAACUGAGACACGGCCCAGACUCCGACGGGAGGGAGCAGUGGGGAAUAUUAGAGAAUGGGGGAAACCCUGAUAAAGCCAUGCCGCGUGAGAGAGGAAGGCCUUAGGGUUGUAAAGCUCUUUCAGCUGGGAAGAUAAUGACGGUACCAGCAGAAGAAGCCCCGGCUAACUCCGUG
RNAcentral lists this ribosomal RNA (433 nucleotides) under uncultured bacterium. RNAcentral describes it as "partial 16S ribosomal RNA". It matches the Rfam family "Bacterial small subunit ribosomal RNA", at positions 29 to 507 of the family's 1533-position model. The record is from RNAcentral.